This 466-nucleotide ribosomal RNA is filed under the name uncultured bacterium. RNAcentral's name for it is "partial 16S ribosomal RNA". It matches the Rfam family "Bacterial small subunit ribosomal RNA", at positions 29 to 507 of the family's 1533-position model. The record is from RNAcentral.
ACGCACGCUGGCGGCGUGCUUAACACAUGCAAGUCGCACGGAAAGGCCCUGCUUUUGUGGGUGCUCGAGUGGCGAACGGGUGAGUAACACGUGAGUAACCUGCCCUUGACUUUGGGAUAACUUCAGGAAACUGGGGCUAAUACCGGAUAGGAGCUCCUGCUGCAUGGUGGGGGUUGGAAAGUUUCGGCGGUUGGGGAUGGACUCGCGGCUUAUCAGCUUGUUGGUGGGGUAGUGGCUUACCAAGGCUUUGACGGGUAGCCGGCCUGAGAGGGUGACCGGCCACAUUGGGACUGAGAUACGGCCCAGACUCCUACGGGAGGCAGCAGUGGGGAAUAUUGCACAAUGGGCGGAAGCCUGAUGCAGCAACGCCGCGUGCGGGAUGACGGCCUUCGGGUUGUAAACCGCUUUCGCCUGUGACGAAGCGUGAGUGACGGUAAUGGGUAAAGAAGCACCGGCUAACUACGUG